ACUGUUAAUCUGUUGGGUAAAGGAAGAGUUCAUCGCUGAAACUUCUCUAAGCAUAUACCACUCCAGACAGCACUGGAUAUAAGGCAAUUCUAACAACAAAAAGAAAGCUUAACUUGGGAAUGUAUGUUGGCAAUACUGCUCCUGGUAACCAAGGAAAAUCCUUCAUGACACACAAAAUGAAACCCAUUACAGCUCUUUCAUGAAUGUGGCUUAAAGACUUAAAGAACAAAGACUGGCACAAGAGAUACAAACAGGAGAGCUGGAGAAAAGUGAGAAGAGAUGGCAUCAGGGGAAAAAAAUGUGCGUUUAAAAGGGGCUACUAGCCCCUUUUAAAGUGGGAAAAGCAGGUAGGUAGUAAACAGUAAAACACUGUUUAAAGCUGUCAUCGUGUGACACUUCUAUGUGACACCUUAGCUUGUGUGACAACUGGAUGAGGAAGCAGCCCUGUAAGUUAUUUUGGGUGGGUGAACCACUGUACCAAUGCAAAGACUGCAGACCCAUAAAAGCGCGUUUGAACGGGAUAUGGAUGAGAUAAAAAAAAUGGUCAA
Alligator mississippiensis (American alligator) is the source of this 548-nucleotide long non-coding RNA. RefSeq lists it as uncharacterized. The record is from RefSeq and is a predicted model, not a curated record. The transcript is spliced from 3 exons. Lineage: Eukaryota; Metazoa; Chordata; Crocodylia; Alligatoridae.